UUCAUGCCCGACGAGAGAGUGCAAACAAUUUUUAGUGAAAUUUUCGAAUAGGCGAACAGCAAAUUCGUAGGGCUGUAGCCCAGGUUUUGGUUCUGUUCGGGUUCUGUUCCGUUCUGGUGCUGCUUCUUCUGCCCUCUGCCUCUGCCAGCGACGAUGUCGACGACAGUUUGAUGAUGAUGAUACUCAUAUGUAUAUUCGCAUGUGCUGCGGCGGGGUGCUCAGAGCCCGCCCCAUUUACUUUUUUGUUCUCAUGCGCAGGCCGGAGAACCGAACAGAACGGUUCUAAAUGAUGACGGGAGCACCGGCGCAGGAGAGCAGUAACAAAAAACACAACAGCCACUUAGAAUGAUAAAACAAACCCCAACACAGAGUGGGAGUAAGAGAGACAGAGAGGAAGAGCAAGCAAGUUCACGGGAAGCGCACACGCAAAACAAGGGGGGAAAAGGGCCCACAUAUGCGCAAAAGCUCAUGAUCACGACCGAAGCAGCAAGUUAGCUUAGAAGACCGAAGCUUUUGAUACCCUUGCAGAGAAACAACAACAUCGCCCUCAGCAAUGGCGUCCGUCCAAAACUUUCACGUUCUAUACCCUUUCCAAUCCAUUCCUAUAUAUCUCUCACUUGCCGAAAACAGUAUUUACCAUAAGGGAUACAACAUACGUGGAGCAAAAUAAACGUAAUUAGCAUUUUUAGCUAAAGGCCUACUAUAUUGCUGGCCCGCUCUAACGCAGAAGCAACAAGCAAACAACAGCAAAAGCAAAGGGGCAUCUAAUUCUCCAAACGAAAUAAAGGU
Molecule: long non-coding RNA, 789 nt
Organism: Drosophila miranda
Lineage: Eukaryota; Metazoa; Arthropoda; Insecta; Diptera; Drosophilidae
Exons: 3
Source: RefSeq, a predicted model, not a curated record